Molecule: non-coding RNA, 73 nt
Organism: Stegodyphus mimosarum
Lineage: Eukaryota; Metazoa; Arthropoda; Arachnida; Araneae; Eresidae
Source: Rfam
GCCCUCGUGGUGUAGUGGUCAGCGCGCUCUGAGCGUAUUCGAGAGGUCCGUGGUUCGAGUCCCGGCAAAGGCG